RNAcentral lists this ribosomal RNA (245 nucleotides) under uncultured bacterium. Its description in RNAcentral is "partial 16S ribosomal RNA". It matches the Rfam family "Bacterial small subunit ribosomal RNA", at positions 89 to 334 of the family's 1533-position model. The record is from RNAcentral.
UACUUAGUGGCGGACGGGUGAGUAACGCGUGGGUAACCUGCCUCAUACAGGGGGAUAACAGUUAGAAAUGACUGCUAAUACCGCAUAAGACCACAGUACCGCAUGGUACAGGGGUAAAAACUCCGGUGGUAUGAGAUGGACCCGCGUCUGAUUAGGUAGUUGGUGGGGUAACGGCCUACCAAGCCGACGAUCAGUAGCCGACCUGAGAGGGUGACCGGCCACAUUGGGACUGAGACACGGCCCAA